AAAUUGAAGAGUUUGAUCAUGGCUCAGAUUGAACGCUGGCGGCAGGCCUAACACAUGCAAGUCGAACGGUAACAGGAAACAGCUUGCUGAUUCGCUGACGAGUGGCGGACGGGUGAGUAAUGUCUGGGAA
Molecule: ribosomal RNA, 130 nt
Filed under: Escherichia coli
Lineage: Bacteria; Pseudomonadati; Pseudomonadota; Gammaproteobacteria; Enterobacterales; Enterobacteriaceae
Description: partial 16S ribosomal RNA
Rfam family: Bacterial small subunit ribosomal RNA
Source: RNAcentral